CGGCACGGGUGCGUAACACGUGAACAACCUGCCCUCGUGUGGGGGAUAGCCAUGCUAACGCGUGGGUAAUACCGCAUACGUUCCCUUGGAGGAGUCUCUGGGGGAGGGAAAGCUCCGGCGCACGGGAGGGGUUCGCGGCCUAUCAGCUAGUUGGCGGGGUAAUGGCCCACCAAGGCGACGACGGGUAGCUGGUCUGAGAGGAUGGCCAGCCACAUUGGGACUGAGAGACGGCCCAG
Molecule: ribosomal RNA, 236 nt
Filed under: uncultured bacterium
Lineage: Bacteria
Description: partial 16S ribosomal RNA
Rfam family: Bacterial small subunit ribosomal RNA
Source: RNAcentral